GACCUUGGCUCGGGGUGGAGGGAUUGGUUUUAAGGCGUUUUGCAGGCCGCAGGAUGCGGGCAGGGGCCUGGCGUUGCCUUCAUGCGGCGGGUGAAGAUUUGACUAGCAGAUUCCCCAGGCUGAACCCCUUCCACCGGGCUGAAUUUAGCAGCAGAAGAGAUAACCAGGAGAUAAGGACUGAUACCCGGGAGGACAGCGGGAGACCGGCAGGCGGCUGAGGGAAGGGGGAGAAGCCGGAGGCAGAGUCCCGUGGCGCUUUGGGAACGGGUAAGGAUGGAAGCGAGCCGGGAAGAAAGGGCGUUUAGGGGAGCUCUGCUGCCUACGAAGCCCAGGGGACGGAGGAGCAGCGGGCGCGUGUGUGCGUGCCGUGCGCGCGUGUGUAGGUGUCUCUGCGUGCGGGUUGCCAACCUAGGAUGGAUCAUUUCCACGGGACUCUCCAAAGAGGAGCAGAAUGCACAGGCAGAAAGAGAGACGGAGUGAAUUUUCCUCCUGUUGGGCUAUCGACAUACAGAGAAGGAAGAGAGAAUUCAAUAUAUCGUUAUCUUUGUUCAAGCAGCUGUGUAUCCAGAAGUGCCGCAUUUCCAAGGGACAAAACAUAUUUCUCUCUAUCCGUUUCAAAAUCUCUGGCCGUUCUUUUCUCUACCAAAGAAGUAUGACCGGAUUUUCUGAAGCUCCUUGAAAUUCUACAGAAAACCAGCGCUUUUUUUUUAAAAAAAAAAAAAAGUAAAAAAAUUAAUUAAUUCCAUUUCAAAAUGCCCAAGCAGCCUGUGUCUUCUUUGCCAGGAGCAGACAACAUUUCAAGGACCUGCCUGCCUUCGCUUUAUCGCACAGCCUUUUCUAGGAAUCCCCGAUGUGUCAGCUGCACGGCCGGGAGGAUUUCAGGAAUAAUCGCGAAAUUCCUGUGACAGGUUUUGCGCGUGUGUGGCUGGAUCUAGCCACUUUCGGCAGAGAAAUAUUAGUCCCGGAUGCAAAGCACCGCCGUGGAGCCAGGAGAUGAACCCCUCCGUGGUGCGAAUCGCGCAAAUUAACAGACAGGAGGGAACUGAUGCAUCUGGGACAGCUUUUCUCCUUAUUUCCUAAACAUACAAAAAAGCAGAGAAUGGGAUAUAGGAGAGUUCAGCGGGGCGACAACAGAAAAAAAAUCACUGCUCUCCGCUCGGAGAAUCCCUUUCCUGUGAUUACAAAAUGUACUUUCCUGAAAACCAAGCCGGCUAACGAAAUUAAGUUAAAUAUAACAUUGCAAAACAAAUCUUGUCCUUUCCACUCUCCUUUCCAGUCCCCCCUGCGCCCCGAGGAAGGAAAUAAAUCGACACGAUGCCGUUUUUUUCUUGCAUCGAAAUUAAUUGUUC
Struthio camelus australis is the source of this 1349-nucleotide non-coding RNA. Lineage: Eukaryota; Metazoa; Chordata; Aves; Struthioniformes; Struthionidae. The record is from RefSeq and is a predicted model, not a curated record.